Molecule: ribosomal RNA, 365 nt
Filed under: uncultured bacterium
Lineage: Bacteria
Description: bacterial SSU rRNA
Rfam family: Bacterial small subunit ribosomal RNA
Source: RNAcentral
UGCCAUCAUUUAGUUGGGCACUCUGAAGGGACUGCCGGUGACAAGCCGGAGGAAGGUGGGGAUGACGUCAAGUCCUCAUGGCCCUUACGGGCUGGGCUACACACGUGCUACAAUGGUGGAUACAAUGGGCAGCAACCCCGCGAGGGCAAGCUAAUCUCCAAAGUCCAUCUCAGUUCGGAUUGUUCUCUGCAACUCGAGAGCAUGAAGUCGGAAUCGCUAGUAAUCGUAGAUCAGCAUGCUACGGUGAAUACGUUCCCGGGCCUUGUACACACCGCCCGUCACACCAUGGGAGUUGGUUUUACCCGAAGGCGGUCCGCCAACCUUUUAGGAGGCAGCCGACCACGGUAAGGUCAGCGACUGGGGUG